GCCGAAGUGGUGGAAUUGGCAGACACGCAAGAUUCAGGAUCUUGUGGGGGCAACUCCGUGGGGGUUCGAAUCCCCCCUUCGGCACCA
Molecule: transfer RNA, 87 nt
Filed under: bacterium BMS3Abin08
Lineage: Bacteria
Also listed under: 4 other names
Description: tRNA-Leu
Rfam family: tRNA
About the family: Transfer RNA (tRNA) molecules are approximately 80 nucleotides in length. Their secondary structure includes four short double-helical elements and three loops (D, anti-codon, and T loops).
Source: RNAcentral